GACCUGUCUCAGUUCGGAUUGGAGCUGCAACUCGACUCCAUGAAGCUGGAUUCGCUAGUAAUCGCGCAUCAGCCAUGGCGCGGUGAAUACGUUCCCGGGCCUUGUACACACCGCCCGUCAAGCCAUGGAAGCCGGGAGUGCCUGAAGUGUGCAACCGCAAGGAGCGCCCUAAGGUAAAACUGGUGACUGGGGCUAAGUCGUAACAAGGUAUC
RNAcentral lists this ribosomal RNA (212 nucleotides) under uncultured bacterium. RNAcentral describes it as "partial 16S ribosomal RNA". It matches the Rfam family "Bacterial small subunit ribosomal RNA", at positions 1280 to 1500 of the family's 1533-position model. The record is from RNAcentral.